GUCGAGCGAACAGACGAGGAGCUUUGCUCCUCUGACGUUAGCGGCGGACGGGUGAGUAAACACGUGGAUAACCUACCUAUAAGACUGGGAUAACUUCGGGAAACCGGAGCUAAUACCGGAUAAUAUAUUGAACCGCAUGGUUCAAUAGUGAAAGACGGUUUUGCUGUCACUUAUAGAUGGAUCCGCGCCGCAUUAGCUAGUUGGUAAGGUAACGGCUUACCAAGGCAACGAUGCGUAGCCGACCUGAGAGGGUGAUCGGCCACACUGGAACUGAGACACGGUCCAGACUCCUACGGGAGGCAGCAGUAGGGAAUCUUCCGCAAUGGGCGAAAGCCUGACGGAGCAACGCCGCGUGAGUGAUGAAGGUCUUCGGAUCGUAAAACUCUGUUAUUAGGGAAGAACAAAUGUGUAAGUAACUAUGCACGUCUUGACGGUACCUAAUCAGAAAGCCACGGCUAACUACGUGCCAGCAGCCGCGGUAAUACGUAGGUGGCAAGCGUUAUCCGGAAUUAUUGGGCGUAAAGCGCGCGUAGGCGGUUUUUUAAGUCUGAUGUGAAAGCCCACGGCUCAACCGUGGAGGGUCAUUGGAAACUGGAAAACUUGAGUGCAGAAGAGGAAAGUGGAAUUCCAUGUGUAGCGGUGAAAUGCGCAGAGAUAUGGAGGAACACCAGUGGCGAAGGCGACUUUCUGGUCUGUAACUGACGCUGAUGUGCGAAAGCGUGGGGAUCAAACAGGAUUAGAUACCCUGGUAGUCCACGCCGUAAACGAUUAUACUAAGUGUUAGGGGGUUUCCGCCCCUUAGUGCUGCAGCUAACGCAUUAAGCACUCCGCCUGGGGAGUACGACCGCAAGGUUGAAACUCAAAGGAAUUGACGGGGACCCGCACAAGCGGUGGAGCAUGUGGUUUAAUUCGAAGCAACGCGAAGAACCUUACCAAAUCUUGACAUCCUCUGACCCCUCUAGAGAUAGAGUUUUCCCCUUCGGGGGACAGAGUGACAGGUGGUGCAUGGUUGUCGUCAGCUCGUGUCGUGAGAUGUUGGGUUAAGUCCCGCAACGAGCGCAACCCUUAAGCUUAGUUGCCAUCAUUAAGUUGGGCACUCUAAGUUGACUGCCGGUGACAAACCGGAGGAAGGUGGGGAUGACGUCAAAUCAUCAUGCCCCUUAUGAUUUGGGCUACACACGUGCUACAAUGGACAAUACAAAGGGCAGCGAAACCGCGAGGUCAAGCAAAUCCCAUAAAGUUGUUCUCAGUUCGGAUUGUAGUCUGCAACUCGACUAUAUGAAGCUGGAAUCGCUAGUAAUCGUAGAUCAGC
RNAcentral lists this ribosomal RNA (1312 nucleotides) under uncultured Staphylococcus sp. Its description in RNAcentral is "bacterial SSU rRNA". It matches the Rfam family "Bacterial small subunit ribosomal RNA", at positions 61 to 1353 of the family's 1533-position model. Lineage: Bacteria; Bacillati; Bacillota; Bacilli; Caryophanales; Staphylococcaceae. The record is from RNAcentral.